This is a non-coding RNA of Podarcis lilfordi (Lilford's wall lizard), 2018 nucleotides long. The record is from the annotation of a GenBank genome assembly. Lineage: Eukaryota; Metazoa; Chordata; Lepidosauria; Squamata; Lacertidae.
AGACUUGCUUUUGAUUCUGCCUAAGACGCAGCUCAGCUGCAGAGAGGCAGUGUGUGCUUUUGGAGCACGGGAAAGAUGCCGGAAAGCUCCGAUGGAAUGUGACUGAUUUACUGCUUUGUAAAUAAAGGCUUCUAGAGUUAAGAACCGAACUGUCUUUGGACUUGAUUUAUCCCUCAUCUCACACGGACGCAGGACCGCUGCUACUCUGCAUUUUCUGCCAGGUCAGCCUCAAGCCCCAAAGCAGAGCUGCACAGGGGAAGCGCUGACUGGACGCAGGAAUUAAUGUCCCCAAAGGUUAUGGAAGGUCCGCGUUUCCUGCCAUGUGUGAGGAGGGAAGAAGGCUGCCAGCUUUGAACUCCUGCCAGGAAGGGCAGUGGGAGACGCUGGUGGAGAGCGGAGCCAAGAGGAGGCUGCUGCUUCGGAGGACCAGCUAGCUGGCAAACGUGUGAGUACGCUUAAAGCCCCGGGGGGAGGAAGAUGGCUGCUGCUCAGCCACAGCAAGGCCAUGAGAGCUACCCCGGUGAAAGACUGCAUGGGGCCAAUUGGGAAGCCUGGAGUAAGCGCAUGUACUACUGGCUGGAAGAAAGGAAGCUUUGGGAUUGCACGCAAGCCGAUCCAGUUUUUGCCCAGCCCAGUGAGAGGUCUGCAGGAGCAGUGGAAGCUUGUGAGGCAGAUGUGGUUGUUGCUCUGGAAAGAGAGCAAAGGGUGCUAGCCAUUUUAAGGGCCAGCGUUGAAGCUUGGCUGUUGCCAAACCUCCAAGGGAAGAAGCCCUGGGUCGCGUGGCAGGCACUGAAGACGGCAUGUCAAGCCUCAGUGGGAGCCAGACCAGAGGGGGCUGGAGGAUGCCCAGAGAAAGCACCAAGUCCAGAGGGGGCUGGGACUGUUUUGGGAAGCUGUUUCUAUGCUUCAACACAUCUGUGUGAUGGACUGUGUGCUGGAGAGAGGCUGAGAGCUGGGAAGAGGAAGGCAGUUGCAGUCCAUUCCUCAGGCAGCUGGGCACCCAACAGUGGGGGUGCAGGCCGUUCCAAGAGCUCUGGGAAAGCCAAAGUCUCCAAGAGUCAUUUGUGCUCUGAGGCGAUGUCCAACAGCGAAGGGCAUUGUUCUGCAGAGGCCCAGGAAGGCAAGGACACCGGCCGGAGAGGAAUGUCAACAAAGCAGAUAAGCGGCGGUUCCAGGGCCGGUUCCCAGCAGAAAGCAGCAGGGGCCAGGAGAAAAACAAAGAAAGCAGCAGGCCAGGAGAAAAACAAAGACAAGGCGUCUUAUCACCUCAUAGCUGUGAUGGCGUCUCUGGGAAGAUGGAUGGCAGCUAACAUAUUAAAGUUGAAUGCUGAUAAGGCAGAUGUCCUGUUUUUGGGGGCCAGGAGGCAGGCAGAUGUGGAGGACUCCCUGGUCCUGAUUGGGGUAACUGUGCCCCUAAAGGACCAGGUGCGCAGACUGGGAGUCAUUUUGGACUCACAGCUGUCCAUGGAGGCACAGGUCAAUUCUGUGUCCAGGGCAGCUGUUUACCAGCUCCAUCUGGUACGCAGGCUGAGACCCUAUCUGCCCGCAGACUGUCUUGCCAGAGUAGUGCAUGCUCCAGUUAUCUCCCGCUUGGACUACUGCAAUGCGCUCUACGUGGGGCUACCUUUGAAGGUGAUCCGGAAACAACAACUAAUCCAGAAUGCGGCAGCUAGACUGGUGACGGGAGGAGAGUCUCCACCCCCACUGAUCUGCCUGGACAUGGAGGUCCAGUACCAAGAGCCUUCUGGCGGUUCCCUCACUGUGAGAAGCGAAGUUACAGGGAACCAGGCAGAGGGCCUUAUCGGUAGUGGUGCCAUCCCUGUGGAAUACCUUCCCAAAAGAUGUCAACAGAAAAAACAGCCACCAGACUUUAAAAGACAUCUGAAGGCUGUCCUGUUUAGGGAAGCUUUUAAUAUCUGAAGGACUAUUGUAUUUCAAUAUUUUGUUGGAAGCCACCAAGAUUGGCGGGGGAAAUCCAGCCAGAUGGGCGUGGUACAAAUAAAAAUAUUUUUAUUAUU